AUACCAGGGUUCAGCCUCUAAUCCCUGAAGACCCAGCAACAGCAUAUGUCUAUGAGUUGCUAGCCCGGGUAACCCCUUUAGUGACCCGGGGUCUGACCCAAUUCCCUCCUUCAGAGGAGGAAUGUGGUCCAUAUAUGAAGCCAUGUCAGGGUUCAGCCUCUUAUCCUUGAAGACCCAGCAACAGCAUAUCUCUAUGAGUCGCUAGCCUGGGUAUCCCGUUUAGUGACUGGGGGUCUGACCUAACUCUCUCCCUCAGGGGAUGAAUGCGGUCCACGGUAUACCUGAGGCCCAGCCAGGGUUCAGCCACUUAUCCCUG
Molecule: non-coding RNA, 316 nt
Organism: Pelobates cultripes (western spadefoot toad)
Lineage: Eukaryota; Metazoa; Chordata; Amphibia; Anura; Pelobatidae
Source: the annotation of a GenBank genome assembly